ACACCACUUUGACAGGCAGGUUAAACCAGCCAGUGGGUCUCAUACUCCAGUGAGAAAGGGACGUGACUGUUCUAGCAUGCAAAGGCAGUUCCAGCAGCCUGGGUGGAUAUGACCUACAGUGAGAUCCAAGGGCCAGGACUCUACGUGGAGAUCGAAGGGCUUGACAAGGCACAGAAGUAGUCAUGGUCAUCCAGUGCAAAACGGAAGACCUCAUCUGCUUGUCCCACUGGACCCAGGAGUCCGAGGUCGAGAGAAUGGAACUGCCCCGGUUCAACAGCUUUUCCACUGUAAAAACUCUCCAGCACAGGUUUCCUGUCAUUGUCUGAUAUGAAGGACAACCACCUGUAGCAAUAUUGGUGGUGUUCCAAUUGGUCCUGUAUUUAAUUUAAAUACAUCAUUUGUUAGACACAUGGUUUGUUUUUUUUAAUGCUUUUUAAAAACUAUUUCCAUGAAAAUUUAGCUAACUGUGGAAGCCCCUUUAUUGGGACAAAAUGUACAGCUCCUAAUGUGUUCCAAUUAACUAGAAUCCACUGUAUAUGAAACUAAAAUGGAACACUUCACAUUCUUCCAUGAUAUUCCAUCAGCCUUGUUCUUGCCCACCACAGUCCAGUGGCAUUCCCUUGGAAUAACAGGGGAGGCUCAAGGGCUUUAAUGGCCUUAUCUUGACCACAAUUCCACACAGUCUGAUGUGCAAGGCACCACUAUUGUUGGAAGAAUCUCAGAUGGCAAUCAGGAGGCUUAUGGCAAUGAGACAGAUCAAUUGGUUGAGUGGUGUCAGCGAGACCAAGGGUCUGAUUGUAGGGGAAGGUGAGAACACACACCAGCCCUCAUUGAGGGGUUAGCAGUGGAAAGGGUGAACAGUUUUAAGUUCCUGGAUGUCAAUAUUUCAGAACCCAGUGCAUUGAUGCAAUCUGAAGAAGGCAUGCCACCGGUUCUAUUACAUUAGGAGUUUGAGAUUUGGCAAGUCACCAAACACUCCUACAAAUUUCUAAAGAUGUACGAUAGAGAGCACUUUGAGUGACUGCAUCAGUCUGGUAUGAAGCCUCCGAAGCACAGGAUCACAAGAGGCUGCAAAGGUUUGCAGACUCAGCCAGCUCCUUCACAAGCACAACGAGGAAGGAUAUGUCGAGCCUCAAGAAGGCAGCAUCCAUCGUUAAGGACCUUCACAAUCCAGUCAUGCCCCUUUCUAGUUUCUACCAUCAGCAAGGUGCUACAGGAGCCGUAAGACCCACAGACAAUGUUUUAGAACAGCUUCUUCUCCUCCACUAUCUGAUUUCUGAACAGUCCAUGAACAAUGCCUCAUAUUUCCUUUCCUUCUACACCAUUAUCUUUGUAACCUAGAGUUUUCUGUUGUGUACUCUAUUGCUGCUGCAAAAUAAACUUCACAUCACGUUGGUAAGAACAAAUCGGAUUCUGACAUUAGCUUAACCUUUACAUUUCGGUGUGGGUGGACACGUAGGAGCCUUCAGUUACGCUGAAAGGGCAUAUUCAGAGAAUGAAGCGUAACCAAGCAAAGGGGGAACGAUCAUGUGCAGUAGCUGCCCGUCACAGGGAGGAGCCAUGCCAGAGCGAGCUGCUUCAGCAGUAUUUAUGGUGCCCAACACUCCAGUAAUGAGAUACGAGAGACGUCAUCCCUUCUCUUGCACAACGCUGUCUUGUGUAUUCCUUCCUGCUGGAAGUUGAGAUGGAAGCCAAAAUUCCCAGAGGAAGAAUGAAAAUCACACCAGCUCCAGCCAAGAGGAGACCGUCUGACAGACAGGACAGUACUGGACUACAGCUGAGUUCCUCCAGUAUUCUGUGUGUGUUGCUCUGGACUUCGGGAACUCUCAUAACCGCAGGUCUACCCCAGCAGCCAGCUGCUCUCGGGUGGAGAAGCGGGACUUGGAGUGAGCGUAUGGCUGCCUGCUGCAGGAAGGCAUUGGAGUUGGUGCGGCAAAGCGGCGUGCAGUGAAAUGAUGCUGCCUGGCCUGCUGAGCUCCCCCAUCGUUUUGUGUGUGUUUCCCUGGAUGGUCCAGUUGGCUGACAGCACUUCUGGGAGAAACCUCUGGUUAUUAAUUUGGUCCUGAGCUCCCUAAUUCCAUAGUACAACCCAC
Molecule: long non-coding RNA, 2093 nt
Organism: Hypanus sabinus (Atlantic stingray)
Lineage: Eukaryota; Metazoa; Chordata; Chondrichthyes; Myliobatiformes; Dasyatidae
Exons: 3
Source: RefSeq, a predicted model, not a curated record